AUGGCGACGACGGUGGUGCCGCUCGCCGCGGCCAUGGCCGCCGCUCCAAGGUCUCGUCUCCUGGGCGCUCCAGACCCCUCCCCGUUCCUCGGGAUCCGCCCGCUCCUCUGCCGCUCUGCGCGCAGCGUCGCCUGCGCCCUUCGCCGACCUUCCAAGAAUAAAAUUAAAAACGAGGUGGUGGUAGCAGAGGAUGACAUUGAUGGAGGUGACGAGGAUGACGAUGACGAGGGUGGGUUGGAAGCACUUUUCAAGCAGCUGGAAGAAGAUCUGAAGAACGACGAUCUAUCUGUCGAGGAUGAUGAUGAUGAUGAAAUAUCAGAGGAAGAUAUGGCCAGGUUUGAACAGGUAUUGGCAGAAGCCAUGGGAGAUAUCGAUGUCGCUGAUGAAUCUGCAGUGGAUUUGGUGCCAGGCUCUGAAGUUGUUGGUAAUGAUGAGGUAGCAGAUCCAAUCGAAAAGCCAGAGCUCAAAAGCUGGCAGCUCCGGAGAUUGGCUCUUGCACUGAACAUUGGUCGGCGUAAAACUAGUAUUAAGAAUCUUGCAGGGGAGCUUGGCCUGGAUAGGGGUUUGGUCAUUGAAUUGCUCCGCAAUCCGCCUCCAGAACUUCUACUUAUGUCUGAUUCUUUGCCUGAUGAAGCCCCUUCUAAACCUGAAACUAAAGAAAUAGAGCCCUCUCCAGUAGCUGAUGAGGUUGAAGUUGAUGAGAUUGAAGCCACUGAAACCGAGCCACAGAUGGACCUUCCGGUUCACGUCAUGAGCACAGAAUGGUCUGCGCAGAAAAGACUGAAAAAGGCGCAGCUGGAAACACUAGAAAAAGUUUACUUCAAAUCCAAACGGCCCACUAAUACUAUGAUCAGUAGCAUAGUUCAAGUUACGAGCCUUCCACGAAAGACAAUUAUUAAGUGGUUUGAGGAUAGAAGGGAGCAAGAUGGUGUACCAGACCGUCGUGCCGCAUACAUGAGAUCCCUAUCUGAGACGAUGGCUAGUUGA
This 987-nucleotide ribosomal RNA is filed under the name Triticum aestivum (bread wheat). RNAcentral's name for it is "partial small subunit ribosomal RNA". The record is from RNAcentral. Lineage: Eukaryota; Viridiplantae; Streptophyta; Magnoliopsida; Poales; Poaceae.